RNAcentral lists this ribosomal RNA (467 nucleotides) under uncultured bacterium. Its description in RNAcentral is "partial 16S ribosomal RNA". It matches the Rfam family "Bacterial small subunit ribosomal RNA", at positions 28 to 507 of the family's 1533-position model. The record is from RNAcentral.
GAUGAACGCUGGCGGCGUGCUUAACACAUGCCAGUCGAACGGAAAGGCCCAAGCUUGCUUGGGUACUCGAGUGGCGAACGGGUGAGUAACACGUGGGUGAUCUGCCCUGCACUUCGGGAUAAGCCUGGGAAACUGGGUCUAAUACCGGAUAGGACCACUUCUUGGAUGUUGUGGUGGAAAGUUUUUUCGGUGUGGGAUGAGCUCGCGGCCUAUCAGCUUGUUGGUGGGGUAAUGGCCUACCAAGGCGUCGACGGGUAGCCGGCCUGAGAGGGUGUACGGCCACACUGGGACUGAGAGACGGCCCAGACUCCUACGGGAGGCAGCAGUGGGGAAUAUUGCACAAGGGGCGCAAGCCGGAUGCAGAGACGCCGCGGGGGGGAUGACGGCCUUCGGGUUGUAAACUCCUUUCGCUAGGGACGAAGCGUUUUGUGACGGUACCUGGAGAAGAAGCACCGGCUAACUACGUG